Molecule: ribosomal RNA, 504 nt
Filed under: uncultured bacterium
Lineage: Bacteria
Description: bacterial SSU rRNA
Rfam family: Bacterial small subunit ribosomal RNA
Source: RNAcentral
CUAGGAUGAACGCUAGCUACAGGCUUAACACAUGCAAGUCGAGGGGCAGCAUGAAGUUGCUUGCAAACUUUGAUGGCGACCGGCGCACGGGUGAGUAACGCGUAUCCAACCUUCCCCUUAGUAGGGCAUAGCCCGAUGAAAAUCGGAUUAAUACCCUAUGUUGUCUUAUGAGGACAUCUGAGCAGGACCAAAGGUUUACCGCUAAGGGAUGGGGAUGCGUCCGAUUAGGUAGUCGGCGGGGUAACGGCCCACCGAGCCAUCGAUCGGUAGGGGUUCUGAGAGGAAGGUCCCCCACAUUGGAACUGAGACACGGUCCAAACUCCUACGGGAGGCAGCAGUGAGGAAUAUUGGUCAAUGGGCGAGAGCCUGAACCAGCCAAGUAGCGUGCAGGAUGACGGCCCUAUGGGUUGUAAACUGCUUUUAUGCGGGGAUAAAGUGCGCCACGUGUGGCGUUUUGUAGGUACCGCAUGAAUAAGGACCGGCUAAUUCCGUGCCAGCCGCCGC